Molecule: ribosomal RNA, 253 nt
Filed under: uncultured bacterium
Lineage: Bacteria
Description: partial 16S ribosomal RNA
Rfam family: Bacterial small subunit ribosomal RNA
Source: RNAcentral
UACGUAGGUGGCAAGCGUUAUCCGGAUUUACUGGGUGUAAAGGGCGUGUAGGCGGGGACGCAAGUCAGAUGUGAAAACCACGGGCUCAACCUGUGGCCUGCAUUUGAAACUGUGUUUCUUGAGUACUGGAGAGGCAGACGGAAUUCCUAGUGUAGCGGUGAAAUGCGUGGAUAUUAGGAGGAACGCCAGUGGCGAAGGCGGUCUGCUGGACAGCAACUGACGCUGAGGCGCGAAAGCGUGGGGAGCAAACAGG